UGGGGAAUAUUGGACAAUGGGGGGAACCCUGAUCCAGCCAUGCCGCGUGUGUGAAGAAGGCCUUAUGGUUGUAAAGCACUUUAAGCGAGGAGGAGGGUACUGGUAUUAAUACUACCAGGUACUGGACGUUACUCGCAGAAUAAGCACCGGCUAACUCUGUGCCAGCAGCCGCGGUAAUACAGAGGGUGCAAGCGUUAAUCGGAAUUACUGGGCGUAAAGCGCGCGUAGGUGGUUCGUUAAGUUGAAUGUGAAAGCCCCGGGCUCAACCUGGGAACUGCAUCCAAAACUGGCGAGCUAGAGUAGGGCAGAGGGUGGUGGAAUUUCCUGUGUAGCGGUGAAAUGCGUAGAUAUAGGAAGGAACACCAGUGGCGAAGGCGACCACCUGGGCUCAUACUGACACUGGGGUGCGAAAGCGUGGGGAGCAAACAGG
This 430-nucleotide ribosomal RNA is filed under the name Pseudomonadota bacterium. RNAcentral's name for it is "Proteobacteria bacterium partial 16S ribosomal RNA". It matches the Rfam family "Bacterial small subunit ribosomal RNA", at positions 355 to 776 of the family's 1533-position model. The record is from RNAcentral. Lineage: Bacteria; Pseudomonadati; Pseudomonadota.